CCUACGGGCGGCAGCAGUGGGGAAUAUUGGACAAUGGGGGGAACCCUGAUCCAGCCAUGCCGCGUGUAUGAAGAAGGCCCUCGGGUUGUAAAGCACUUUCAGUGAGGAAGAACGCCUGGUGGUUAAUACCCAUCAGGAAAGACAUCACUCACAGAAGAAGCACCGGCUAACUCCGUGCCAGCAGCCGCGGUAAUACGGAGGGUGCGAGCGUUAAUCGGAAUUACUGGGCGUAAAGCGCGCGUAGGUGGCUUGAUAAGCCGGUUGUGAAAGCCCCGGGCUCAACCUGGGAACGGCAUCCGGAACUGUCAAGCUAGAGUGCAGGAGAGGAAGGUAGAAUUCCCGGUGUAGCGGUGAAAUGCGUAGAGAUCGGGAGGAAUACCAGUGGCGAAGGCGGCCUUCUGGACUGACACUGACACUGAGGUGCGAAAGCGUGGGUAGCAAACAGGAUUAGAUACCCCAGUAGUC
Molecule: ribosomal RNA, 465 nt
Filed under: Vreelandella stevensii
Lineage: Bacteria; Pseudomonadati; Pseudomonadota; Gammaproteobacteria; Oceanospirillales; Halomonadaceae
Description: partial 16S ribosomal RNA
Rfam family: Bacterial small subunit ribosomal RNA
Source: RNAcentral